UGGGAUAUAGUGUAAUGGCAACACAAGAGACUUUGACUCUCUCGUUACAGGUUCGAAUCCUGUUAUCCCAG
Molecule: transfer RNA, 71 nt
Filed under: Bacillota bacterium
Lineage: Bacteria; Bacillati; Bacillota
Also listed under: 2 other names
Description: tRNA-Gln
Rfam family: tRNA
About the family: Transfer RNA (tRNA) molecules are approximately 80 nucleotides in length. Their secondary structure includes four short double-helical elements and three loops (D, anti-codon, and T loops).
Source: RNAcentral